RNAcentral lists this ribosomal RNA (310 nucleotides) under uncultured Pseudomonas sp. RNAcentral describes it as "bacterial SSU rRNA". It matches the Rfam family "Bacterial small subunit ribosomal RNA", at positions 1073 to 1382 of the family's 1533-position model. The record is from RNAcentral. Lineage: Bacteria; Pseudomonadati; Pseudomonadota; Gammaproteobacteria; Pseudomonadales; Pseudomonadaceae.
UGUUGGGUUAAGUCCCGUAACGAGCGCAACCCUUGUCCUUAGUUACCAGCACGUUAUGGUGGCACUCUAAGGAGACUGCCGGUGACAAACCGGAGGAAGUGGGGAUGACGUCAAGUCAUCAUGGCCCUUACGGCCUGGGCUACACACGUGCUACAAUGGUCGGUACAAAGGGUUGCCAAGCCGCGAGGUGGAGCUAAUCCCAUAAAACCGAUCGUAGUCCGGAUCGCAGUCUGCAACUCGACUGCGUGAAGUCGGAAUCGCUAGUAAUCGUGAAUCCAGAAUGUCACGGUAGAAUACGUUCCCGGGCCUU